GACGAACGCUGGCGGCGUGCUUAACACAUGCAAGUCGAACGAAGAGCGAUGGAAGCUUGCUUCUAUCAAUCUUAGUGGCGAACGGGUGAGUAACGCGUAAUCAACCUUCCCUUCAGAGGGGGACAACAGUUGGAAACGACUGCUAAUACCGCAUACGAUCUGACCUCGGCAUCGAGGAUAGAUGAAAGGUGGCCUCUACAUGUAAGCUAUCACUGAAGGAGGGGAUUGCGUCUGAUUAGCUAGUUGGAGGGGUAACGGCCCACCAAGGCGAUGAUCAGUAGCCGGUCUGAGAGGAUGAACGGCCACAUUGGGACUGAGACACGGCCCAGACUCCUACGGGAGGCAGCAGUGGGGAAUCUUCCGCAAUGGACGAAAGUCUGACGGAGCAACGCCGCGUGAGUGAUGACGGCCUUCGGGUUGUAAAGCUCUGUUAAUCGGGACGAAAGGCCUUUUUGCGAAUAGUGAGAAGGAUUGACGGUACCGGAAUAGAAAGCCACGGCUAACUACGUG
RNAcentral lists this ribosomal RNA (510 nucleotides) under uncultured bacterium. RNAcentral's name for it is "partial 16S ribosomal RNA". It matches the Rfam family "Bacterial small subunit ribosomal RNA", at positions 28 to 507 of the family's 1533-position model. The record is from RNAcentral.